This 502-nucleotide ribosomal RNA is filed under the name uncultured bacterium. RNAcentral's name for it is "partial 16S ribosomal RNA". It matches the Rfam family "Bacterial small subunit ribosomal RNA", at positions 30 to 523 of the family's 1533-position model. The record is from RNAcentral.
AUUGAACGCUGGCGGAAUGCUUUACACAUGCAAGUCGAACGGCAGCACGGGUGCUUGCACCUGGUGGCGAGUGGCGAACGGGUGAGUAAUACAUCGGAACGUACCCAGUCGUGGGGGAUAACGUAGCGAAAGUUGCGCUAAUACCGCAUACGUCCUGAGGGAGAAAGCGGGGGACCGUAAGGCCUCGCGCGAUUGGAACGGCCGAUGUCUGAUUAGCUAGUUGGUGAGGUAAAGGCUCACCAAGGCGACGAUCAGUAGCUGGUCUGAGAGGAUGAUCAGCCACACUGGAACUGAGACACGGUCCAGACUCCUACGGGAGGCAGCAGUGGGGAAUUUUGGACAAUGGGCGAAAGCCUGAUCCAGCCAUUCCGCGUGAGUGAAGAAGGCCUUCGGGUUGUAAAACUCUUUCGGCAGGAACGAAACGCUCUAGAUUAAUACUCUGGGGUAAUGACGGUACCUGAAGAAGAAGCACCGGCUAACUACGUGCCAGCCGCCGCCGUAA